This 255-nucleotide ribosomal RNA is filed under the name uncultured Burkholderiales bacterium. RNAcentral's name for it is "partial 16S ribosomal RNA". It matches the Rfam family "Bacterial small subunit ribosomal RNA", at positions 524 to 778 of the family's 1533-position model. Lineage: Bacteria; Pseudomonadati; Pseudomonadota; Betaproteobacteria; Burkholderiales. The record is from RNAcentral.
UACGUAGGGUGCGAGCGUUAAUCGGAAUUACUGGGCGUAAAGCGUGCGCAGGCGGCUUUGCAAGACAGAGGUGAAAUCCCCGGGCUCAACCUGGGAACUGCCUUUGUGACUGCAAGGCUAGAGUACGGCAGAGGGGGAUGGAAUUCCGCGUGUAGCAGUGAAAUGCGUAGAUAUGCGGAGGAACACCGAUGGCGAAGGCAAUCCCCUGGGCCUGUACUGACGCUCAUGCACGAAAGCGUGGGGAGCAAACAGGAU